UAUCUUCGUUGUAGUUAGAUACAUAAGCGAGGUACUCGAUUUUGAGAAGAUCACUAAUAAUUUCAGUGACCCCAUAGGGAGGGUUGGACGUGCCUUAUUGUUCCACGGGUUCAUGGAUGAUGGGCAGGAGGUUACUGUCAAAACAUGAGAUUUUAUGUUUCCUGCCGUUUAUCAUUGUGUUGGUUAUCCACGCGAUUCUCAUAUGAAUUUGGGCGGAAGGAAUGAAUGAAGGUGGCAACUAAUUAUGCACUGGUCCUGAAAACUAACCAUGAAAAAGUUGGACCUCAUUUGGUCUUGUGAUGAUAUUAUGAUUGAUAAGGAAUAUAACAUUAAACUGAUAAACUAUAUGAUCAAUCGUAGGAAGGUGAAACUUGCGACGGUGCCUCUGUCUUAGGUAUUGUUGUUUCUUUAUUACUGCCCCAUGACUUGUUCUCAUGAAGUACCCCAUGAGAUGUGCUAGCUACAUGAUUAUACUAAUAUAAAUACUAAUAUUAAUACUAAUAAACAUGUGUAA
Capsicum annuum is the source of this 514-nucleotide long non-coding RNA. RefSeq lists it as uncharacterized. The record is from RefSeq and is a predicted model, not a curated record. NCBI's taxonomy places the organism in Eukaryota, Viridiplantae, Streptophyta, Magnoliopsida, Solanales, Solanaceae. The transcript has 3 exons.